Molecule: ribosomal RNA, 542 nt
Filed under: uncultured fungus
Lineage: Eukaryota; Fungi
Description: eukaryotic LSU rRNA
Rfam family: 5.8S ribosomal RNA (bases 169-322)
Source: RNAcentral
UCCGUAGGGUGACCUGCGGAGGGAUCAUUACCGAGUUUACAACUCCCAAACCCCUGUGAACAUACCUAUUUGUUGCCUCGGCGGUGCCUGUUCCGACAGCCCGCCAGAGGACCCCAAACCCUGAUUACAUUUAAGAAGUCUUCUGAGUAAACCGAUUAAAUAAAUCAAAACUUUCAACAACGGAUCUCUUGGUUCUGGCAUCGAUGAAGAACGCAGCGAAAUGCGAUAAGUAAUGUGAAUUGCAGAAUUCAGUGAAUCAUCGAAUCUUUGAACGCACAUUGCGCCCGCUAGUAUUCUGGCGGGCAUGCCUGUCCGAGCGUCAUUUCAACCCUCAAGCCCCCGGGCUUGGUGUUGGGGAUCGGCGAGCCUCCGCGCCCGCCGUCCCCUAAAUCUAGUGGCGGUCUCGCUGUAGCUUCCUCUGCGUAGUAGCACACCUCGCACUGGGAAACAGCGCGGCCACGCCGUUAAACCCCCAACUUCUGAACGUUUGACCUCGGAUCAGGUAGGAAUACCCGCUGAACUUAAGCAUAUCAAUAAGCGGA